AUUGAACGCUGGCGGCAGGCCUAACACAUGCAAGUCGAGCGAGCGGCGGACGGGUGAGUAAUGUAUGGGGACUGCCCGAUAGAGGGGGAUAACUACUGGAAACGGUGGCUACUAACGCAUACUAUCGGAUAACCCAUAUGGGAUUAGCUCGUAGGUGGGGUAAGGGCGCACCUAGGCGACGAUCUCUAGCUGGUCUGAGAGGAUGAUCAGCCACACGGGGACUGAGACACGGCCCAGACGCCUACGGAGGCAGCAGUGGGGAAUAUUGCACCAUGGGCGCAAGCCUGAUGCAGCCAGGCCGCGUGUAUGAAGAAGGCCUUAGGGUUGUAGAGGACUUUCAUCGGCGAGGCGUUACCCGCAGAAGAAGCACCGGCUAACUCCGUGCCAGCAGCCGCGGUAAUUG
RNAcentral lists this ribosomal RNA (403 nucleotides) under uncultured bacterium. Its description in RNAcentral is "partial 16S ribosomal RNA". It matches the Rfam family "Bacterial small subunit ribosomal RNA", at positions 29 to 527 of the family's 1533-position model. The record is from RNAcentral.